RNAcentral lists this ribosomal RNA (491 nucleotides) under uncultured bacterium. Its description in RNAcentral is "partial 16S ribosomal RNA". It matches the Rfam family "Bacterial small subunit ribosomal RNA", at positions 29 to 507 of the family's 1533-position model. The record is from RNAcentral.
AGUGAACGCUGGCGGUAGGCCUAACACAUGCAAGUCGAACGGCAGCACAGUAAGAGCUUGCUCUUACGGGUGGCGAGUGGCGGACGGGUGAGGAAUACAUCGGAAUCUACUUUUUCGUGGGGGAUAACGUAGGGAAACUUACGCUAAUACCGCAUACGACCUACGGGUGAAAGCAGGGGAUCUUCGGACCUUGCGCGAUUGAAUGAGCCGAUGUCGGAUUAGCUAGUUGGCGGGGUAAAGGCCCACCAAGGCGACGAUCCGUAGCUGGUCUGAGAGGAUGAUCGGCCACACUGGACCUGAAACACGGUCCAGACUCCUACGGGAGGCAGCAGUGGGAAAUAUUGGACAAUGGGCGAAAGCCUGAGCAAGCCAGACCGCGUGGGUGAAGAAGGCCUUCGGGUUGUAAGCCCUUUUGUUGGGAAAGAAAAGCAGCAGGUUAAUACCCCGCUGUUCUGACGGUACCCAAAGAAUAAGCACCGGCUAACUUCGUG